UACGUAGGGUGCGAGCGUUGUCCGGAAUUACUGGGCGUAAAGAGCUCGUAGGUGGUUUGUCACGUCGUCUGUGAAAUUCCGGGGCUUAACCUCGGGCGUGCAGGCGAUACGGGCAAUACUUGAGUGCUGUAGGGGAGACUGGAAUUCCUGGUGUAGCGGUGAAAUGCGCAGAUAUCAGGAGGAACACCAAUGGCGAAGGCAGGUCUCUGGGCAGUUACUGACGCUGAGGAGCGAAAGCAUGGGUAGCGAACAGGAUUAGACA
This 262-nucleotide ribosomal RNA is filed under the name uncultured prokaryote. RNAcentral describes it as "partial 16S ribosomal RNA". It matches the Rfam family "Bacterial small subunit ribosomal RNA", at positions 524 to 784 of the family's 1533-position model. The record is from RNAcentral.